RNAcentral lists this ribosomal RNA (363 nucleotides) under uncultured Parcubacteria group bacterium. RNAcentral describes it as "bacterial SSU rRNA". It matches the Rfam family "Bacterial small subunit ribosomal RNA", at positions 1007 to 1382 of the family's 1533-position model. The record is from RNAcentral.
UAGGGGGGUGCCUUCGGGAACCAGAUGACAGGUGUUGCACGGUCGUCGUCAGCUCGUGCUAUGAAGUGUCCCGUUAAGUCGGUUAACGAGCGCAACCCCUGCUGUUUGUUGAAUUUUUCAAACAGGACUGCCGGCGUUAAGUCGGAGGAAGGUGGGGAUGACGUCAGAUCAGCGUGGCUCUUACGUCCUGGGCGACACUCGUGUUACAAUGGGUAGUCACAAAGGGUUGCAAUACCGUAAGGUGGAGCUAAUCCCAUAAAACUACCCCCAGUUCGGAUUGAGGGCUGCAACUCGCCCUCAUGAAGCCGGAAUCGCUAGUAAUCGUAGGUCAGCCAUACUACGGUGAAUACGUUCUCGGGUCUU